This 512-nucleotide ribosomal RNA is filed under the name Dacus etiennellus. RNAcentral describes it as "partial 16S ribosomal RNA". The stretch from base 388 to 512 matches the Rfam family "Bacterial large subunit ribosomal RNA", at positions 2473 to 2597 of the family's 2925-position model. Lineage: Eukaryota; Metazoa; Arthropoda; Insecta; Diptera; Tephritidae. The record is from RNAcentral.
GUCUUUUUGAGUUAUUUUUAAAGUCUGACCUGCCCACUGAAUUUUUAAAUGGCCGCAGUAUUCUAACUGUGCAAAGGUAGCAUAAUCAUUAGUCUUUUAAUUGAAGGCUGGUAUGAACGGUUGGACGAGGUAUAAGCUGUUUCAUAUAAAUUUAUAAUAGAAUUUUAUAUUUUAGUCAAAAAGCUAAAAUAUAAUUAAAAGACGAGAAGACCCUAUAAAUCUUUAUAUUUUAUAUAGUUUAAAUUUUUUAGAUUUAUUUUAUUUUUAUUAUAUUGAAUAUUUUGUUGGGGUGAUAUUAAAAUUUAAUAAACUUUUAAUUGUAUUUAAAUCAUUAAUUUAUGAAUUGUUGAUCCAUUAAUAGUGAUUAUAAGAUUAAGUUACUUUAGGGAUAACAGCGUAAUUUUUUUGGAGAGUUCAUAUCGAUAAAAAAGUUUGCGACCUCGAUGUUGGAUUAAGAUAUAAUUUUAGGUGUAGUCGCUUAAAUGUUAAGUCUGUUCGACUUUUAAAUUCUU